CCUACGGGCGGCAGCAGUGAGGAAUAUUGGUCAAUGGUCGGGAGACUGAACCAGCCAAGCCGCGUGAGGGAGGAAGGUACAGAGUAUCGUAAACCUCUUUUGUCAGGGAACAAAGGCGGGGACGUGUCCCCGGAUGAGUGUACCUGAAGAAAAAGCAUCGGCUAACUCCGUGCCAGCAGCCGCGGUAAUACGGAGGAUGCGAGCGUUAUCGGGAUUUAUUGGGGUUAAAGGGUGCGCAGGCGGUCUGUUAGGUCAGCGGUAAAAGCCCGGGGUUCAACCCCGGCCCGCAGUUGAAACUGGCAGUCUCGAGUUGGAGAGAAGUAUGCGGAAUGCGCGGUGUAGCGGUGAAAUGCAUAGAGAUCGCGCAGAACUCUGAUUGCGAAGGCAGCAUGCCGGCUCCACACUGACGCUGAGGCACGAAAGCGUGGGUAUCGAACAGGAUUAGAUACCCCUGUAGUC
Molecule: ribosomal RNA, 459 nt
Filed under: uncultured bacterium
Lineage: Bacteria
Description: partial 16S ribosomal RNA
Rfam family: Bacterial small subunit ribosomal RNA
Source: RNAcentral